AUGAGGGCCUCCAACCAGCUCCUGGGCUUGCUGCUGCUCUGGCUUACAGGCACCAAAUGUGACAUUCAGAUGACCCAGUCUCCUGCCUCCCUGUCUGCAUCUCUGGGAGACAGUGUCACCAUCACAUGCCAGGCAAGUCAGAACAUUGGUAGCUGGUUAGCAUGGUACCGGCAGAAAACAGGGACCUCUCCUAAGCUCCUGAUCUAUAAUGCAAAAAGCUUGGCAGAAGGGGUUCCAUCAAGGUUUAGUGGCACUGGAUCUGGCACACAGUUUACUCUCAAGAUCAGCAGCCUGCAGCCUGAAGAUGUGGCAACCUAUUAUUGUCUACAGCGUAAUAACGUACCUUGCACAGUGAUUCAAGUCAUAACAUAA
Molecule: non-coding RNA, 372 nt
Organism: Microtus ochrogaster (prairie vole)
Lineage: Eukaryota; Metazoa; Chordata; Mammalia; Rodentia; Cricetidae
Source: the annotation of a RefSeq genome assembly